GUUGGGACUGCAGCAAAGAGGACCUUGUCACUGGGUGGCAGAAAGCCUCCCACCUGCAGAAUGAAAAAGAGAAAACGCAUCUGAUAAACGCCGUGGUAGGGCACAGGACUGAAGGCAUCGUCUGGCUUUUCCUCGCUAAGGGCUAGGAGCUUCUUGCUGUCUCGGUUCUCCGAGGACACCUGCAAAGGAGGCAAAACAAACAUGGCAAACCCAGCUCCAUUCCUUCAGCCGGAACCCACGGAACCCACGGCAGACAGCGCUAGCUGAUCACAGCACACGGGAGCCCCGCUGCACCUGCACCCGGGCACACAGCGGGACUUGAACCCAACACUCCAUCUUCCUGAGCCUAAGUGGAGUCAGCAGGGGAGCUGAGGGGACAUGGGCAACCUGGGCCCCCUGGUUGGGGCAGGAGAUGGAGAUCAAAGGCCACAUUCCUCCAGCAUAGUUCCCGCAGGGGGACAGUGCUGGCCUGCAGAGCCUCAUCCGGCAGGGUGGGCAAAAAGGAUGGGCACGGCUGCCCGGGAGGGGGGAGAAAGUGCUUGCUGAAGAAUGACGUCCUGUGCCUGCUCCUGACCAUCUUCGGGCUCUGCUGAGUCCACUUCCAUGGAACAAGUCUACACUGGUGACCUGUGUGCAGGACCAAAGAUGCUGCAGAGAUGAACAAAUCCUGGUUCCUGUCCAGGAACAUUCUGGGGAAGGAAACCCUAACAAACAAUGAAACACUACGGAGCCUGUCACUGUGUCACUCCACCACCACGCACCAAGUGACUGCUUCGCGCUGGAAGAAGUGAUGGGGCUGGGGCAGAGAUGCGAGGUGACAGGGGAGCCGGCCUUGGAGGAACCAAAGGGAGAUGGAGCAGCCAUUCUCCCCGGGACACACCUGGCAAUGUCCAGAGGCACCUUCAUGGCAUCCAGGGACAGCUGCCGGGAGCUGGAGCCCCUCCAGACAGACAGGCAGCCGCACACCGUCAGGGGCUGGGUGGGAAGUCCUGGUCUUGACAGAGGGGAGAGGGCCUGCAUGGUGGCCAGAGGACCUGGUCACCUGACAGAUGGUUAUUGGCCAGAGACCUGUGGAGAGUUCCAGGGAGGAGAGGGGUCCCAUCCCAAGAGUGGCUGUCAUCUGAAAAUGCACACAGUGACUUUAGCAAAGGUCCCUCUGGCCUGGGCUGUGAAGAGCCAAGCUUCUGGGUGUCACCAAGGUGAGCAGUUACAGGGCCUGGAAGGUUGCUGGGUGCCCACCAUAGCCCUGCGCAGGGAGAUGACAGGUGAUCCCAGUGAGUUCUUGGAGGCCUUGUGAUCAGGAUGACCAUGUAGGGCCUGGCAGUGACACUGGCGCUACCCAGUGGCACAGUUUAGGACUGAACCACCACCAGUCACCUUUUACUACGAGUGGGUAGGAAGCCCUGACUGCUCACCCUAGGCAGCCGUGGCUCGAGUGUGGAGCAGAGUUUGAGAGGACCCAUUUCAUUCAGCACCCCUGCACCGAAGCAGCCAGCCUCAAACCCUCAGUAAAGCCGGACUCUGACCCGACUUACUCUGCAGGGGAGGGGGGAGGUUUACUGAGGGGAGCGGCCAGCCCCAUCCUGGUUCCAACUCCCCUCCCUCCCCAAGGCCCUGGCCAGAAGAUGCCCGCCCUGCCUCGGGAACCAGCUGUCCCACCCAGACAUCACUCUCUAGGUUGGUGGGCCUCAGACUGGGACCACUCCCCUGGGGACAGCUGCCAAUGUCUGGGACAUUUUUGGUGUCAGGGGUUGGGCAGGGGGGCUGAGGGCACCACUCAACAACAUCCUGCAAUGCACAGGACACCCCACCCUCCGGCUACAGCCACAGGAACAGAGGAGCUGGCCCAAAUGCUGCCAGCGCCAAGGCCAAGGCCCUGUGGCCGGGUCACACCACAAAGGCCUGGCGGUGGCUGGGGAGCUCCCGCCCACACGCAGAGCCAGUGCUGGCUGAAGAUGCGUUGAAAGGUCCUUCACCCCAGAGCCCAGGUCAGAUGAAUAAGGAGCCAGCCUCGUGGCCUUUAUAUAGCUCCAGGCCCGUGGGGGGGCUGUCACCAUGCCAUGUUCCCUGCGAGGGGCUCUGGCUGCCUGGGGGUGGGGGGCAUGGUCAGUUGCAGCUGUUGCUGGCAUCAGGCCACGUGGAGAGGACAAUGCCCUGGAAUGCCAGGCACGCUGCACGACAGCUGAGCCACAGGCAUCUGAAGGGCUCCAGUGAAAAUGGAAUUGUUCGGGUGCCUGUGCCCCUCACAAAAGCCAGCCAGGUGGCCAUGGGCUAAAAAUACCUGGGAAGAAAAAGCCACUGAGGGCCGUCUGACUGCAUGGGGCUGUAGCUCCACGCUCCCAGGCAGGGGGCAGGGUGAGGACUGGCCUAGGUCCCCAGGCCCAAAAGAAGACAAUUGAUGGCUCUUCUCUGGGCUUCACUUUUUGCAUCUGGAAAAUGGGCUCAUAUUAGUGCCUGCCUCACAGCACUGAGCACAGGCAGCCAUAGAAAUAGAAUGAUAAUGGCUCGAUCUCUUGGGGGGGCAUCAGUUUGGCAAGGCUGUGUGCAGUGGCUAGGUGGUGGCCGUGCCGGGCGGGUCUGAUUUCCCCAGUGUGCUUGUUAGGCACCCACAGGGACCAAGCUCAAGUCAACCUGGGACUCAGUACACAGCCUCCUCUGGGGCCAGAGCAAAUGAGGCUGGAAAGGUAACCGAUCACAUCACACACACACACACACACACACGCACACAUUCCCUCUCUCAGGGUCGGUGGACUCCAUGCUCACCACAUACAAAGCCAUCUACACCGCUGCAUGAGUGACCACAAGGCCAAUGCUGUGGACAGCGCCUGGCCCAGGGUCAGCACACAACACAUGAACUGUUGGUUCCUGACAGUCUAAGACUUGUGCCACUGUUCCUGCUUAUCACUGAAGAGUCUGAGCCCCAGGGUGAUGAAGUCACUUGUCCAGGCCCCCACAGGCAGGACAGCAGAGCAGCUGACCUGGAACGCGGCUUCUGGUCAUAGCAAGUCAGUGCCCAGUGGUUGGGUCUUAACUGUCAGGCCAGGGAGGACAGACCUCCCCCAAGGCAGUAGAGAGCCGCUGGAUUCCUCAUUUGAGGGGCGUGAAGGGCUAGGAAGGAGAGUGUGUUUUUGCUGUGCUGACAUUGAAUCCAGGGCCUCAAACAGGCUAAGCUCUACCAGUGAGCUACAUCCCCAGCCUAUUUUAUUCAUUUAGUGACAGGGUCUCACUAAGUUGCACAGACUGGCCUUGAACUCCUGAUCCUCCUGCCUCAGUUUCCUGAGUAGCUGGGACUACAGAUGUGUGCCAUGGCACCUGGCUCAUAAUAACUCUUUGAAGUAAACCGAGCGUUUACUGCAGUGCACACCUGUAAUUCCCAGCACUCGGGAGGCUGAGUCAGGAGCAUCGCUGCAAGUUCAAGACCAACCUGGACUACAAAAUGAGCUUAAGGCCAGCCUGAGCUGUAUAGUGAGACCCUGUCUCAAAAAUAAGCACCAAAAAAAAACCUCUUUAAAGAAACGAAACCUAUCUGCCCACUUCACAAACAGCAAGACUAAGUCACAGAGGCUGGUGUUGCUUGCCUGAGUCACAACUGGGAUCCCGUGGGUGCCUAACAUUACAUGGACACAUCUCUCUGACCAGCUGGAGAAGCCACCUCCCCACUCUGACAGGCGCCCUCUGACGCCUGGGGGCCCUGACAGAGGAGAUAGGCUAUCACUGGGUGACACAGCCCAUCAGACACUGGCUUGGGGGCGGCAGGGCCUGGCAUUCCUUUGUUCUGUGGGGGGCAGCUGAGUCCACACCCUCUGGAGAGGGGCCUCACGCUGAGGCAGGCUGACUGGCAGUGGCUUCAUUUCUGGAGGAAACCUUCGAGUAGUUACAGGACACUUGCAUGGCCAGGCGCUGUCCUCAAUGGUCAUGCGUGACUUGAUGAACUGUUCAGUCCACUGACACCAGUGAGCCUCCUCAGGGGCUGCUAGGUCCUGCAAAACCAUCACAUGGAAAAAGAUUUUCUUUCCUUCCUGACAAUGUGGGCUAAUGGCUUAGACUUGGAUUCCAGGAACAAAAGUGGAAAAAAAAAAUCCACAAAGGAGAAGAAAUAAAACGCACCCCCAGCAGGGCCGGAAGCCCCAGAGGCUGGACGGAUGCCGACUCCGACGCUGUGCGUUGAGGUCCAGCCAGCACGAGAACAUCCCAUAAUGCUCUGACUUCCUUCUAAUGACUAUUUGAGCACUUGAAAGAGACACCUAGUCUCCUCCACAGUUUGUGGGUCACUGUUGACGCCCUGCUUAGCUGCAAAGGGGAGCCACGUGGGGGGACCAAAGGACUUCAGGGCCAAUCGUGCAGUGCAAAAUCCCAGGGGUGUAUGUUACGAUGCCAUUAAUGUGAAAACCAGUAUGUGUGGGAUGACACACACCAUUAAUGUGACAAAGAUUAUGGGUGUGUACAAGGUGUGUAAGACGCAAGAUGUCUGCGAGGCUGCCUCCAGUGCCACGGCCUGGAUAAGAUCCCAGAACAGACGAGGGCUGAGAGCAGAUGACGCUCGACAUCUGAAUGUCGUCUAGACUGUGGUCAGUGGUGACAGUGCUGAUGUGGCCCCAGAAGAUGUUAACAUCAGGAAAACAGAUGCUAGGGCUGUGUGUGGUGAAGUCUGCGAGCUCUAUGUCACUUCUAAAAUAAAAGUCUAAUUUGGAAGGAAAUUUUAGAACAGCAAAACCAAGCCAGGGUGAAAUCAAGCAAUAGCAAGUGCUGGUGGGGCUAAGGGGGGGAAGGAGACCUUCUCCACUGUUGGUGGGAGUGCACACUGGUGCAAUCACUGUGGAAAUCAGUGUGGUGAUUUCUCCAAAAACUAGGACUAGCUAUCCCCUUCUGGGAAUCUUCCCAAAAGAAUUAAAAACAUUGCACCAUAGCUAUAUAUGUGCACCCAUGUUUAUAAGCAGCACAAUUUGUAAUAGCCAGAUCUUGGAAACAAUCCCAAUGCCCAUCAACUGAGGAAUGGACUUAAAAAGACGCAGUAGUUUAUGCAAUGGAGUACUACUCAGCCAUAAAGAAUGAUACAGUGGACAGUUUUAUAGGUAAAUGAGACCAUACUCGUAAGUGAAAUAAAUAAGAUACAUACGAGUAAACAUUGUAUUCUCACUAGUGUAAGAAGCUGAAACAACUUAUGCGUAUAUGUGUAUGUAUAGAAAAAGUUAAGAUAGUUGUACUACCGAUUUCUCUGAGUUCAGUGAAGAGGAAGGUUUGUGCUGGUUUUGUUCAGACAAUAGAAUGCAGCUGUCUUGUGCUCCUGGUGAAUGAUUUGGGGAUGACAGCGUGCAAUGUAUGUACCAUUGUUGCCUCCGAUCGAUGUGCUUUGAAAUUUUGUUGUAGUCUUUCUUUCUUUCUUUCUUUCUUUCUUUCUUUCUUUCUUUCUUUCUUUCUCUCUCUCUUUCUUUCUUUCUUUCUUUCUUUCAUCCUAGAAAUAAAAUGGAUUUGAAGGGGGAAAAAACAAGCCAUGGUGCCAGAGGCUGGAAAGUCAGGACUUUCGAGGCACUGCUGGGAGGCAGGUGGGGAGCACCAGAAAGUCAGGGAGCUGGAAGGUUCCACAUCUUGACCUGGCUCAUGGGUGAGCACCGAUGUGAAAAGUCUCCAUGCUGGACAUGGAGACGAUGUACACUACACUACAGGUGUCUCUCAGUUUAAAAAGCAAAGAAUCAGGCUGGGUAUGAUGGUGCAUGCCUGUAAUCCCUGUACUCUGGGAGGCUGAGGCAGAAAGAUUGCUGUGAGUUCAAGACCAGCCUGGGCUAAAAGUGAGGUCAAGGCCAGCCUGAGCUGCAUAGCAAAGCCCUGUCUCCAAAAAGAAAAGUAAGUAAAUAAAUAAAUUUCUGAGGCCCCAUAACAUUCCAUGGCUCUCCAAAUGGCAACUGGAAAGACAACUGUCCCUGGGCAUAGAUUCUUUGCCACCUGAUGAGACCACAUUUCCCACAUCUGGGAAAAGGUUAGAAAUCACCUGAUCCCCACUGCAAGUUCCAAGAAUGAACAAACGCUCCCCAAAA
Molecule: long non-coding RNA, 6032 nt
Organism: Cavia porcellus (domestic guinea pig)
Lineage: Eukaryota; Metazoa; Chordata; Mammalia; Rodentia; Caviidae
Exons: 2
Source: RefSeq, a predicted model, not a curated record